RNAcentral lists this transfer RNA (88 nucleotides) under Eriachne nodosa. Its description in RNAcentral is "tRNA-Ser". It matches the Rfam family "tRNA". From Rfam's summary of the family: Transfer RNA (tRNA) molecules are approximately 80 nucleotides in length. Their secondary structure includes four short double-helical elements and three loops (D, anti-codon, and T loops). Lineage: Eukaryota; Viridiplantae; Streptophyta; Magnoliopsida; Poales; Poaceae. The record is from RNAcentral. RNAcentral also lists the same sequence under 3 other names.
GGAGAGAUGGCUGAGUGGUUGAUAGCUCCGGUCUUGAAAACCGGUAUAGUUAUAGUAACUAUCGAGGGUUCGAAUCCCUCUCUCUCCU